Molecule: non-coding RNA, 2042 nt
Organism: Callorhinus ursinus (northern fur seal)
Lineage: Eukaryota; Metazoa; Chordata; Mammalia; Carnivora; Otariidae
Source: RefSeq, a predicted model, not a curated record
CUCAGGGCCGGGGGCCGGGUACCAGCAAGGACCGAUGAGGUCCCUCUGGCAUCAUGAAGUUCACAUUCGGGAGGGGAAACACCGAAUAGAAGCGAAUGCUACAGUUUGCAGACCCUGAAAAGCUCCCUUGAAACCAGGACAGGCGAUUGUAGGCCAGAGUGAUGGGGGUGAGGAAGGGCAUCCCAGAAGAGGUGACGUUUGACUUGAGAACUGAGAGGGGAGAGGGAGCCUGCCCCCCUGAGCAUAGCGUUCCGGGCCCGGGAACCUUAGGGUGGGGGACUGUCUGUCCCCUUACCAACCUGUCUGUCCGCGUAAGGCCAGUGAAAAUGCCUCGUGUAAAAGCAGCUCAAGCUGGAAGACAGGGCCCUGGAAAGAGACGACUUGCAGAACACUUUGCAGCUGGGGAGAUAAUCACUGAUAUGACGAAGAAGGAGUGGAAAUUAGGAUCGCCCAUUGGCCAGGGUGGCUUCGGUUGUAUAUAUCUUGCUGAUGUGAACUCUUCAAAAUCGGUGGGAAGCGAUGCACCCUGUGUUGUAAAAGUGGAGCCCAGUGACAAUGGACCUCUCUUUACUGAACUGAAGUUCUACCAGCGAGCUGCCAAACCAGAGCAAAUUCAGAAGUGGAUUCGCACCCAUAAACUGAAGUACCUGGGCGUUCCUAAGUACUGGGGCUCUGGCCUACAUGAUAAAAAUGGAAAAAGUUACAGGUUUAUGAUAAUGGAUCGCUUUGGGAGUGACCUUCAGAAAAUAUAUGAAGCAAAUGCCAGAAGGUUUUCUCGGAAAACUGUCUUGCAGCUAAGCUUGAGAAUUCUGGAUAUUCUGGAAUAUAUUCACGAGCAUGAGUAUGUACAUGGAGAUAUCAAGGCCUCAAAUCUUCUUUUGAGCUACAAGAAUCCUGACCAGGUGUACUUGGUAGAUUACGGCCUUGCUUACCGGUAUUGCCCAGAAGGAAUUCAUAAAGAAUACAAAGAAGACCCCAGAAGAUGUCAUGAUGGCACUAUUGAAUUCACCAGCAUUGACGCGCACAAUGGUGUCGCCCCGUCAAGACGUGGUGAUUUGGAAAUCCUUGGCUAUUGCAUGAUUCAGUGGCUUAGUGGCCAUCUUCCUUGGGAGGAUAAUUUGAAAGACCCUAACUAUGUUAGAGAUUCCAAAAUUAGAUACAGAGAAAAUAUUGCAGAUUUCAUGGACAAAUGUUUUCCUGAGAGAAACAAGCCAGAUGAGAUUGCUAAAUACAUGGAAACAGUGAAAUUACUGGACUAUGCCGAGAAACCUCUUUAUCAGAACUUGCGAGACACUCUUUUGCAAGGACUGAGAGCUAUAGGAAGCAAGGAUGACGGCAAGUUGGACCUCAGCCUCGUGGAGAACGGAGGCUUGAGAACAAAGUCAAUAACGAAGCGCAAGAAAGGAAUUGAGGAGAGCACCGAAUCCAGUGUUGAAGAUAUGGAAUGGUCAGAUACACAGACAGAAGAGGCCACAAAAACCCGUGCUGCAGCCCUGAAAUAAGUCUUUGCUCUGCCAUGCAAAGUGUUCAGAAAGCAAAGGUGGCUGAAAUUACAUGAAAAUGGCUUCCAAGGCCCUGUCUGUUCCUGUAGAGGUCAGAGAAAGCACACCCUGCAGAAACACGAUUCGAGGCACUGUUCUAAACACCGCAGGCAUGAACUCCUUUCAUCCUCACAAAACCCUACAGAGGAGGUGCUAUCGUCACCCCCAUUUUGCGCACGAGGGAGCUGAGGUUAAGUGGCUUGCACAAGAUUGCCCAACCGGCCCGUUGCUGCUCCCCUGCAGAUCCAGAGCCCGUCACAGGCCCGCUCAGACCCUCCAGGGGCCACUCUGGCGCCUCGAGGAGGAAGCCCCCGCAGCCCUUGGCGUGGGAUACUGGGAGGCUGGAAGAAAGGACAGAUGAGGGCUCAGGUACAGAUGCUCGGAGCCUCGCCUGGAGGCCUACGCAGAGGAUGAACGCGGCAAAGAUGCUCCUGCUGGUCUGUGCACCAAGCCUGCCCGUGUGGCCAUUCCUGUCUAGCCCGGGUGAGUGAGGCCAUCUGA